GCAGGGGAAACGUUCAGUCUGCCUGGGUUAUAUAUAGGUAGAUUCAUUGAUUUCGGAUCAGAAAAUUAUCAAUGUUCAUGGAUUCCCAGAACACAGCAGGGAGAAGUUUAUGUUAUGAACAUUUCUUAGCAACAAACCCUGUAAGAAGAAGGACGUCUGUUCUACAGCUUGUGGUGGAUUAUAGAACACAUGAUAUCAACCAAGUUUAAAGGAAGCAUGUAUAGCCACAUUAGAAAGAUUUAAGGAUUGUGAGAAACCAAAUAUGACAAAUCAGAAUAACUUCCAUGGGAGUGUGAAAAAAAAGAAUAGUAGAGUGUAAUCCUCAGGACUUUCUUCAGACUUCCAUAAAGUCAGGAAAUACUGUUGAACUGACAAAAUUAACAAAAAUCAUGAUUGUCAAAAAUUCAAGGAAGAUGUGCAAGUUAAGACUAAGACGGAUUUUAGGAGUUUUGAUGACAAAGAAUCAACCUUUGGAAAUAUGGCUUUAAACUUGGAUCUCUUUAUUGAUGCAUGCAUGAUGGUGGGCUGAAGAAGAAAACCAGGACAAAUGAAAAUUCCUAGUGUUCAUCAGAAAAAAUGAUCGAAUCAUGCAGCCAUUUUGAGUGCUUGAAUGCCCAACUGAGAGAGCCAGCCAAUGCGGAAAAUAUUUCUUGGAAGUUACACCAAAUCUGCUGUGACAAUUGAAUUAAAGCUUUAAAAGUACAUUUAAAAACAUACUGCCUUAAAAUUACAUUUGUAUAUGGUGUAAUUAUUUCAAGGAGAUACAACACACCUGGUUUAACAGUAAGGUCCAUAGCUAAACAUGGAUAUGGAA
Molecule: long non-coding RNA, 814 nt
Organism: Saccostrea echinata
Lineage: Eukaryota; Metazoa; Mollusca; Bivalvia; Ostreida; Ostreidae
Exons: 4
Source: RefSeq, a predicted model, not a curated record